AGACCCGAAACCCGGUGAUCUAGCCAUGGGCAGGUUGAAGGUUGGGUAACACUAACUGGAGGACCGAACCGACUAAUGUUGAAAAAUUAGCGGAUGACCUGUGGCUGGGGGUGAAAGGCCAAUCAAACCGGGAGAUAGCUGGUUCUCCCCGAAAGCUAUUUAGGUAGCGCCUCGUGAAUUCAUCUCCGGGGGUAGAGCACUGUUUCGGCUAGGGGGCCAUCCCGGCUUACCAACCCGAUGCAAACUGCGAAUACCGGAGAAUGUUAUCACGGGAGACACACGGCGGGUGCUAACGUCCGUCGUGAAGAGGGAAACAACCCAGACCGCCAGCUAAGGUCCCAAAGUCAUGGUUAAGUGGGAAACGAUGUGGGAAGGCCCAGACAGCCAGG
RNAcentral lists this ribosomal RNA (389 nucleotides) under Salmonella enterica subsp. enterica serovar Rubislaw. RNAcentral's name for it is "partial 23S ribosomal RNA". It matches the Rfam family "Bacterial large subunit ribosomal RNA", at positions 711 to 1097 of the family's 2925-position model. Lineage: Bacteria; Pseudomonadati; Pseudomonadota; Gammaproteobacteria; Enterobacterales; Enterobacteriaceae. The record is from RNAcentral. RNAcentral also lists the same sequence under 4 other names.